Molecule: ribosomal RNA, 440 nt
Filed under: uncultured bacterium
Lineage: Bacteria
Description: partial 16S ribosomal RNA
Rfam family: Bacterial small subunit ribosomal RNA
Source: RNAcentral
CCUACGGGUGGCAGCAGUGGGGAAUAUUGCACAAUGGGGGAAACCCUGAUGCAGCAACGCCGCGUGAGCGAUGAAGGCCUUCGGGUCGUAAAGCUCUGUCCUCAAGGAAGAUAAUGACGGUACCUGAGGAAGAAGCCCCGGCUAACUACGUGCCAGCAGCCGCGGUAAUACGUAGGGGGCUAGCGUUAUCCGGAAUUACUGGGUGUAAAGGGAGCGUAGGGGGGAUUCCAAGUCAGGAGUGAAAGGCCAGGGCUCAACCCGAGGACAGCCUUGGAAACUGUGAAUCUGGAGUGCAGGAGAGGUAAGUGGAAUUCCUAGUGUAGCGGUGAAAUGCGUAGAUAUUAGGAGGAACACCAGUUGCGAAGGCGGCUCUCUGGACUGUAACUGACGCUGAGGCUCGAAAGCGUGGGGAGCAAACAGGAUUAGAUACCCUGGUAGUC